This is a long non-coding RNA of Drosophila rhopaloa, 850 nucleotides long. RefSeq lists it as uncharacterized. Lineage: Eukaryota; Metazoa; Arthropoda; Insecta; Diptera; Drosophilidae. The record is from RefSeq and is a predicted model, not a curated record. The transcript has 3 exons.
GUCACUUCAUAAUUUUCCGUACAUUUUAAAAUUUUUUUGCCAAAUUUUAUCAUUGGUUUUGAGUGCAAUUGACUAAGAAUAAGAAUCUUAUCAUUAUCUUCCAGUGAUGGAUCGGCUCUUUUAUUGAAAUCCUCCUAUGGCUUGAAGAUUACGCUUUAUUUGAUGGAACGGCUAUUUUGUUGAAAUCCUCCUGGCAUGAGUUAAAGAUUGUGCUUUAUUUUGCUGAUCAUCAGAAAGUGGGGCAUUGGGAAGCACUACCAUCUGGACCAAUCCUCAUCCUCCGCGAUGCAGAUUCUUUAUCAUCAUGGUUGGCCCUCCUUCUACAUCCUGAUGAACUACUGUUUUUACUUGCGGAUGUAGAGCUGGUAUUGGUCUUGUGCGAUGCGAUGGAUAUUGUCGAGUUCUGCGAAUCGGACUUUAGAAGGAACUUCGGAAGUCUUAUAAAAUCCAAAGACCUGUUUGGAAACUCUGUUGCCCAAUUCCCCCCAGUGCAAUUGUAAAACUGCAGAAACGCGACGAACGUCUUUCCAUUUAGUAGCGAAAACGCCGGUCCUUGAAUUUUCAAAUCUGAAUCUUGAGCCUUCUUGACCUGCAACAAAUUUGUGAUAGAGAACCCUCAUUAAUAUGAGUUCUUUCGAAGCCAUGGAUCCCGAUGCGACCAAGAAAUAGCCCCACCAAAACCUCUUCACCGAAAAAAUAAUCGGGGAUUAUUUUUUUGAGUAUCUUCAGUUUUAAAUCGAAACUUUUGUCGGAAUGAAGUACUUACCUCGACUACAAACAAACAUUGUUUAGUGUAAAUGACAAUACUCAAUACAACAGUAGUAGUGUAGAAUAAAAACUCUUUUUAAUA